GGACGAAAGUCUGAUGCAGCAACGCCGCGUGGGGGAUGAAGCUUCUCGGAGUGUAAACCCCUUUCGACCUGGAAGAAUGCCCGCAAGGGUUUGACGGUACAGGUAUAAGAAGCCCCGGCUAACUACGUGCCAGCAGCCGCGGUAAUACGUAGGGGGCCAGCGUUGCUCGGAAUUACUGGGCGUAAAGGGUCCGUAGGCGGUGUGGUAAGUCGGGAGUGAAAUCUCUGGGCUUAACCCAGAGGCUGCUUCCGAAACUGCCGUGCUAGAGUGUGAGAGAGGCGAGUGGAAUUACGGGUGUAGCGGUGAAAUGCGUAGAUAUCCGUAGGAACAUCCGAGGCGAAGGCGGCUCGCUGGAUCACAACUGACGCUGAGGGACGAAAGCUAGGGGAGCAAACAGGAUUAGAUACCCUGGUAGUCCUAGCCCUAAACCAUCAGGACUUGGGGUUUGCCCUGUACGGGGCAAGUCCCGUAGCUAACGCGUUAAGUCCUGCGCCUGGGGAG
This 501-nucleotide ribosomal RNA is filed under the name uncultured bacterium. RNAcentral's name for it is "bacterial SSU rRNA". It matches the Rfam family "Bacterial small subunit ribosomal RNA", at positions 373 to 880 of the family's 1533-position model. The record is from RNAcentral.